RNAcentral lists this ribosomal RNA (253 nucleotides) under uncultured bacterium. RNAcentral's name for it is "partial 16S ribosomal RNA". It matches the Rfam family "Bacterial small subunit ribosomal RNA", at positions 524 to 776 of the family's 1533-position model. The record is from RNAcentral.
UACGUAGGGUGCAAGCGUUGUCCGGAAUUAUUGGGCGUAAAGAGCUCGUAGGCGGUUUGUCGCGUCUGCUGUGAAAUCUGGAGGCUCAACCUCCAGCCUGCAGUGGGUACGGGCAGACUAGAGUGCGGUAGGGGAGAUUGGAACUCCUGGUGUAGCGGUGGAAUGCGCAGAUAUCAGGAAGAACACCGAUGGCGAAGGCAGAUCUCUGGGCCGUAACUGACGCUGAGGAGCGAAAGCGUGGGGAGCAAACAGG